CGUCAAGUCAUCAUGCCCCUUAUAUCCAGGGCUGCAAACAUGCUACAAUGGCCGGUACAAAGGGCUGCGAAACCGCGAGGUCAAGCGAAUCCCAUAAAGCCGGUCUCAGUUCGGAUUGAAGUCUGCAACUCGACUUCAUGAAGCUGGAGUCGCUAGUAAUCCCAGAUCAGCAUUGCUGGGUGAAUACGUUCCCGGGCCUU
Molecule: ribosomal RNA, 200 nt
Filed under: uncultured prokaryote
Description: partial 16S ribosomal RNA
Rfam family: Bacterial small subunit ribosomal RNA
Source: RNAcentral